RNAcentral lists this long non-coding RNA (1143 nucleotides) under Calidris pygmaea (Spoon-billed sandpiper). RNAcentral describes it as "lncRNA (ENSCPGG00000012057.1)". Lineage: Eukaryota; Metazoa; Chordata; Aves; Charadriiformes; Scolopacidae. The record is from RNAcentral.
CUUCCCGCGGGGCCGCUGCCCGCCGGGUCCCGCACCGCAGCCCCGGGCCCGGGGCCCCGCCGCCGCCCCAGCUGAAGGCCGCGGGACCGGGGGCUGUCACCGCCGACAGCGCUUCUCCGCAGCCCGCACGCCCUCGGGCCCGGCACCCGGGAAAAGCGGCGGGGACUCCCAGCCCUUCCCCCGCGCUCCCGCCCCGGAGCAUCGCCCCGAACCGGCGACAGACCCCGAGGUCCCCAGGCGAGACCCGCACCCCGCGGGUGACCCAGCGGCCCUACCCGCUCCCCGCAGCCCCCAGGCCGGGCUGCCCUUCCCCGCCGCCCCUCCUUCCCGGGCGGCGAUGCUGAAUCACCACGGGUAGCCGCUCCGCCGCCUCUCCCCGCGGACGGCAGCCUGUCCCCCGCAGGGCAGCGGGUGAGGAGAAGCGUCGCCGCAGAGGGCGAGCUGCUCUCUCUCCGUUACCUGACAGGGCGGGGGAGCGAGAGGCCCCCGGGCGCUCCGGUCCUCCCGGGAAGGGCGGCGGUGCCGCGGGGGCAGGCCGGGCCAGGCGGCGCCUCACGGGCGGCGCAGCGGGGCUCUCCCGGUCGGCAGCAUCCGAACCGGCGCCUGCCGAGCCGGGGACUAGCGAGAGGAGGAGCGGGAGGUUACGGCGGGGAGCCGGGAAGAAACCAUUCCCCGCGAGGGGGCACCGCCGGCGGCCGGCCAGGCGGGGCGGGGAGGACGGGCCCUCCCACACAGGGAGAAGCUGGCCUCUCUGAGGGGUUCUGCUGCUCACCCAGUACCUCCUCCAGCCUUUCUCCCCUCUCCUCCCCUGAAAUCCCAGCUGCCGUGGUUCUGCCGCUCUCCAACACCACUGAAACCUUCAGAAGCCUCUGUCUUCAUCUCUCUGUCUCGCCCUGAGACAUACGGAUGACAAAGCACUGCACAGAUGGUAAGUGUUGGCAUUGACUGUAUUACUAAUAUCUGCACGUUAAAGGAUCGUUAUAUAAAACAUUUCACUGCCCCUUCCAACAGGUAGCAGAUAGAAGGGAAACAUCCCUCCCUGUCCUCCAUAGGGAAAGUGCUUGUAACUGGAGGAGAACAACAUAACCCGCAUUUAUCAUUCCUAAGAAAUUAUAGGAAUAAAUUGUUUACCCAGGAGAACCA